GCACAAGCGGUGGAGCAUGUGGUUUAAUUCGACGCAGCGCGAAGAACCUUACCAGGGCUUGACAUCCCCUGACCGCGUAUGAAAGUACGUUUUCACCCUCGGGUGACAGGGAGACAGGUGGUGCAUGGUUGUCGUCAGCUCGUGUCGUGAGAUGUUGGGUUAAGUCCCGCAACGAGCGCAACCCCUACGUUUAGUUGCUAACGCGUGAAGGCGAGCACUCUAGACGAACUGCCGUUGACAAAACGGAGGAAGGUGGGGAUGACGUCAAAUCAUCAUGCCCCUUAUGUUCUGGGCUACACACGUGCUACAAUGGCCGGUACAGACGGACGCAAAGCCGCGAGGUGGAGCAAAUCCUAAAAAGCCGGUCUCAGUUCGGAUUGCAGGCUGCAAUUCGCCUGCAUGAAGUCGGAAUCGCUAGUAAUCGCAGGUCAGCAUACUGCGGUGAAUACGUUCCCGGGCCUU
This 462-nucleotide ribosomal RNA is filed under the name uncultured Pelotomaculum sp. RNAcentral describes it as "bacterial SSU rRNA". It matches the Rfam family "Bacterial small subunit ribosomal RNA", at positions 923 to 1382 of the family's 1533-position model. Lineage: Bacteria; Bacillati; Bacillota; Clostridia; Eubacteriales; Desulfotomaculaceae. The record is from RNAcentral.